Molecule: small RNA, 29 nt
Filed under: Bombyx mori (domestic silkworm)
Lineage: Eukaryota; Metazoa; Arthropoda; Insecta; Lepidoptera; Bombycidae
Description: ovarian small RNA-17240
Source: RNAcentral
GGACCACGAACUUUCGAAUCUUCGAGCGG